AGACCUCAAUUUGAGCAAGAUUACCCGCUGAACU
This 34-nucleotide ribosomal RNA is filed under the name Steinernema sp. CS7. Its description in RNAcentral is "partial 28S ribosomal RNA". Lineage: Eukaryota; Metazoa; Nematoda; Chromadorea; Rhabditida; Steinernematidae. The record is from RNAcentral.